This is a long non-coding RNA of Bombina bombina (fire-bellied toad), 276 nucleotides long. RefSeq lists it as uncharacterized. The record is from RefSeq and is a predicted model, not a curated record. Lineage: Eukaryota; Metazoa; Chordata; Amphibia; Anura; Bombinatoridae. The transcript has 2 exons.
CCUAUAUUAAUGGCUCUUAUUCAUAAGUUUCUGGCUCCGGGGAUGGAUUGCUGGGUGUGAUGUUAUAUAUCCAGAUUGGACUAAUAAUAUAUGUACUCCAGUUGGACUACGAAUCCCAUAAUGCCAUUCGCCGAAAUCUGGAAACGAAGAUUCCGUAAAACCUGAAGUGACGUCAUCCAUAGUUACAUAACAUCCGGAAACUGCACCAUAGAAAAUUGAACAUAGAGGUUAAUAUGUAGAUUCAUUUUUUCAAUAUAAACGCUUUACUAUCAUACA